Molecule: ribosomal RNA, 1244 nt
Filed under: Trachelostyla sp.
Lineage: Eukaryota; Ciliophora; Spirotrichea; Sporadotrichida; Trachelostylidae
Description: partial 28S ribosomal RNA
Rfam family: Eukaryotic large subunit ribosomal RNA
Source: RNAcentral
AGCGGAGGAAAAGAAAUUAACUAAGAUUGCCUCAGUAACGGCGAGUGAAGCGGCAAGAGCCCAACAUGAAAAUCUUCACGCAUUUCGCGUGACGAAUUGUAGGGUAUAGAGGAGUUGCUCAACCGGCGUGGGCGCAGAAGUGCCUUAGAACAGGCGGCCAGAGAGGGUGACAGCCCCGUAUGUGGUGCCCACACCUAACGAGGGACUUUUCGAAGAGUCGGGUUGUUUUGUAUUGCAGCCCUAAAUGGGAGAUAAACUUCUUCUAAGGCUAAAUAUUUGCGGGAAACCGAUAGCGAACAAGUACUGUGAAGGAAAGAUGAAAAGAACUUUGAAAAGAGAGUCAAAAGACUUGAAAUCGUUGAGAAGGAAGCGGUAGAAAUUUAUUCUUCGGCGGUGAACGGUGGCAGUUGUCUAACUUUAUGCUGGCCUAGAUACUUCAUCGGUCUGGUUGGUAUCCAAGGGAAACGGCUGUCUUGUUCUUCGUCGUGAGGCAAAAUGGAGUUGCUCGCCUUCAGAGGCUUGGCAGGGCUGGCGCUAUUCGUAGUGUACCCUGGCUGUGCCGGAAGGUGAGUGGCUUGAGGAGCUUCGUGCGAUUUUGCCAAAAUGGUUUUUACCGACCCGUCUUGAAACACGGACCAAGGAGUCUAACAUAUAUGCGAGUAUGCUGGUGGAGAAACCAACAUGCACAACUAACGUGAGCGAUGCCAAGCUUUGCAGCAGCAUCGGCCGACCAUGAUUCUCUGAUGAAAGGAUCGCGCAAGAGCAUAUCUGUUAGGACCCGAAAGAUGGUGAACUAUGCCUGAGCAGGGUGAAGCCAGGGGAAACUCUGGUGGAGGCUCGUAGCGACACUGACGUGCAAAUCGUUCGUCUGACUUGGGUAUAGGGGCGAAAGACUAAUCGAACCAUCUAGUAGCUGGUUCCCUCCGAAGUUUCCCUCAGGAUAGCAAGGACAAUAAUGCAGUUUUAUUAGGUAAAGCGAAUGAUUAGAGGCCUCGGGGAUCCAGCAUCCUCGACCUAUUCUCAAACUUUAAAUUGGUAAGAACCCUGGCCUUCCUUAAUUGAGGCGCAGGGGCUCAAUGCGUGUCCUUAGUGGGCCAUUUUUGGUAAGCAGAACUGGCGAUGAGGGAUGCUCCUAACGUCGAGUUAAGGUGCCUAAAUGCACGCUCAUCAGACACUACAAAGGGUGUUGGUUCAUAAAGACAGCAGGACGGUGGCCAUGAAGUCGAUUGCAGAGUAAGUAGUGA